UACGUAGGGUGCGAGCGUUGUCCGGAAUUACUGGGCGUAAAGGGCUCGUAGGCGGCCAACUAAGUCAGACGUGAAAUCCCUCGGCUUAACCGGGGAACUGCGUCUGAUACUGGAUGGCUAGAGGUUGGGAGAGGGAUGCGGAAUUCCAGGUGUAGCGGUGAAAUGCGUAGAUAUCUGGAGGAACACCGGUGGCGAAGGCGGUGGUCUGGGCCGGAACUGACGCUGAGGAGCGAAAGCGUGGGGAGCGAACAGG
RNAcentral lists this ribosomal RNA (253 nucleotides) under uncultured bacterium. RNAcentral's name for it is "partial 16S ribosomal RNA". It matches the Rfam family "Bacterial small subunit ribosomal RNA", at positions 524 to 776 of the family's 1533-position model. The record is from RNAcentral.